This 22605-nucleotide long non-coding RNA is filed under the name Homo sapiens (human). Its description in RNAcentral is "HSALNT0315235". Lineage: Eukaryota; Metazoa; Chordata; Mammalia; Primates; Hominidae. The record is from RNAcentral.
GGCAACCUGCUUGGGUCCCUUUCCACACCGCGGAAGCUUUGUUCUUUUGCUCUUUGCAAUAAAUCUUGCUGCUGCUCACUCUUUGGGUCCACACUGCCUUUAUGAGCUGUAACACCGCGAAGGUCCACAGCUUCACUCCUGAGCCAGCGAGACCACGAACCCCACCAGAAGGAAGAAUCUGUGAACACAUCCGAACAUCAGAAGGAACAAACUCUAGACAUGCCGCCUUUAAGAACUGCAACACUCACUGCGAGUGUCCGCGGCUUCAUUCUUGAAGUCAGUGAGACGAAGAACCCACCAAUUCCAGACACAUUUUGGCGACCUAGAUGGGACAAUCGCCUAUCACCGAGUGGUGAGACCAUCGCCUAUAGCUGAGCGGCGAGACAAUCACCUAUCGCCAAGCAAUUACCUACCACUUCCAGGGUCAGAGCCCUUCACUUCAUAUUCAUGAGGAGACGGGGAAUUGGAAUAUACCCGCAGCCGACAAUCUCAGUGUGAAAUACUGGUUUACUGUUUGGAGAACAAUAGACAAUGAUCAACAACUGAAGAGCUGAGCUGGUCUUCAUCCUGUGCCAAAGGAAUGCGGUGUUUUUCACUGCUUUUUAAAAUAAGUAAUUUUCCUCUGGAUUAAAGCACCGAAGGCUUAACCCUGACCUUGUGUUAAGAAGGAAGUUGGGGUGGGAACUGGAAUUGAAUGCAGCAAAUUUCAUCCAACAGUGGAGAGAGGGUUAAAGAGAAAACUACCAAGGAGGCUUAUAUUUAGAGCUUGAUAGGUUUGUUAAAAUAUCCUGACUUUACCCUUUUUAUGUAUCUGUCUUUCACCUAGUGUGCUUUUUGUGUGCACACUAUUCACCAAGCUUUGUUCAAAUUGCAAGGGAUAAGAAAGGACUGAGAAAGUGACUGGUGGAUGAGAAAAACAAAAUAUCUUGGUUAGAUCAGUACAGCUUUCCUUCCAAGAGUUUGCAUCUAUUAUCUCUACCUCUCUGAAAAAUCAUAACAGAAAUAAAGGCAUAUUUUUCCUACUAUUAAGAAAACAAAGGUAGGGCUGGCGCAAUGGCUCAAGCCUGUAAUCUCAACACUUUGAGAGGCUGAGGCGGGUGGAUCAUCUGAGGUCAGGAGUUCAAGACCAGCCUGGCCAACAUGGUGAAACCCCAUCUGUACUAAAAAUACAAAAAUUAGCUGGCAUAGUGCUGGGCACCUGUAAUCCCAGCUACUCUGGAGGCUGAGGAAGGAAAAUCACUUGAACCUGGGAGACGGAGGUUGCAGUGAGCCGAGAUCGUUCCACUGCACUCCAGCCUGGGUGACAAAGUAAGACUCUGUUUCAAAAAAAAAAAGAAAGAAAGAAAGAAAGAAAGAAAGAAAGAAAGAAACUAGCAGUCCAGGUUCCAAAGAGGUUUCUUGGCACCCCCUUGUGGAUAUGGUUUUUUUUCCCUCUAGUGCUUUUGAUCUAAGUGCAUCAAAAAAUCUGGGCAUUAGACGUUUUUUCCAGUCACAUAGAAGCAGCAUAAAAUCAUAUUUACUAGAGUUCCUGGGAUGAUUGGGAAGAGAAUAACAUUGUUGGUUGAGCAUUCAUUGAGCAUCUCUUAUGUGGCAGGCACUGUGCUUGAUGUUUUAAAAGGUUCACUCUGGCUGCUGUGUUGUAAAUAGGUGGUAAAGGGUGUGGAGGAGAUAGAGAUGAGUUCUGAAGCCAUUUCCACCAUCCAGGUAAGAGAUAAUGAUGACUCGGAUCAUGAUGGUAGUAGCAGCAGAGGUGGUAAAAGGAAGCUGGAUACCAAACACCGCAUAUUCUCACUCAUAGGUGGGAAUUGAACAAUGAGAUCACAUGGACACAGGAAGGGGAACAUCACACUCUGGGGACUGUUGUGGGGUGGGGGGAGCGGGGAGGGAUAGCAUUGGGAGAUACACCUAAUGCUAGAUGACGAGUUAGUGGGUGCAGAGCACCAGCGUGGCGCAUGUAUACAUAUGUAACUAACCUGCACAAUGUGCACAUGUACCCUAAAACUUAAAGUAUAAUAAUAAAAGAAAAAAAAAAGGAAGCUGGAUUUGGGAUAUAUUUUGAAGCUUGUGCCAACAGGAUUGGUGGCAGAUUGGAUGUGGGUAUAAGAGAAAGAGAGAAGUCAAAGACGACAUCAUUUGGGCCCGAGAAACUGGGAGAAUAAAAUUGUCAUUAACAGAAAUGAGCAAGUCAGCUGAAUGAGCAGGGUUGGGAGAAGAGGAAUGAUAUGGUCAGUUUCGAAUGUGCUAAGUUUUGAAAUACCUUUUAGAAAUCCAAGUGGAGAUGUCAACUAGGCAGCUGGAUAUACAAAUAUGAAGUUCAAGGAAGAGGUCUGGGUGACAUAUAAAUGUGACAGUUGUCAGCAUAUAAAUGGUAUUUAAACCCAUGAGACACUAAGGAAAUGCAUGUUGAUAGAAAAGAGACCCAAGGACUAAAUCCUGGGCAGCCCAGGACUGAGUUUAGGGACAUGAGAGGAAGGCAGAAAGGAUACUGAGAAAUGGCCAGUGAGCCAGAAAUGAAGAUCAGGAGCUUAUUCUCAAAGGUGACUUUCUAAGAAGAAGAAGGCGUGAUCAACAAAGUUAAAUGCUGCCAAAGGGCACAUCAUACGAAAGAACUGAGAAUCGGCUAUUGGGUUGAGCAACGUGGAGGUCACUGGUGGCCUUCAUAAGAGGAGCUUUCUUGGUGAGUUAGAGAUGAGAUGAGAGUCCAUCUGCAGUGGAUUCAUGAGAGAAUGGGAGGAGAGAAAUUGGAAAUAGAUGAGGUAACUCUUUUGGAGAGUUUUGCUGUAAAGGAGGGCAGAGAAAUGGGGCAGCAGCUAGAGGAAAAGUAGAAGUCAAGGGACAAAAAUUAAUGGAAAAAAUGGUAGCAUAUUUGUAUACUGUUGUGGGAAGGGGUAUGAGGGAGGGUAGGUAGGUAUUUACCAUAAAGGAGAUAAAGGAGAGGAUUGCUGGCACAGGCUCCUUGAGUAGGUGAGAAAGGGUGGGAGUGUGUGAACAGAUGGAGGAGCUUACCUUAGAUAGCAGCAGGGCAGGUCAGUGUCAGCAACAGAACAGAAGGAGAACAUAGCAAUGGGCUUGGAGGUGGUUAGCGGGAACUUCUGAUUAUUAUACUUCUGUUUUCUCAGGGAAACAGGAGGCAAUUUUAUCAGCUGAGAAUGAGGAUGGGGAGAGGGUGUUAAAGGUUUAAAGGAAGAGAGGAGAAGUUCAAACAGUUGGCUUGGAAAGUGGGAGAAUGAACAGACUAGAGAAAUGUGGCAGGUGCUGAGGGACCACUUGAGUCUGUGACCGUGAAUGGAUAGUGAGACUGGACAGGAGACUUGGGUAUUUUUCCUAGUAAGGUUCAGUGGCAGAGGUGUAGCCAGCAAGUAGGAAGAAAGCUGGAGUCAACCAGGAUUGGGACUUUGCCAGGCAGAUACCAUGAAGAGAGGGAUGGGCAAAGGAUUCAAGAAUGUAUGCAAGUGAAUGGUUAUAAUGAUGGACUGUGGAACUUAAGCUGAGUAAGGAGGGAAGUAAGGACGUGAGGGAGUGUGAGAAAUAGUAAAAGAGGCACUGGAUUUGUAAAUUGUGUGUCCCAGUGUGGCUGAAAAAUUACUGGUUUUAGGUAACACACAGAGUGAGCUAGAAAGAGAGGAAGUAGUGAUUGAGAAGUGUGAUGCUGGAAUUUGAGAUUUUAGAGAUGUUUCAGGAAUAGGCGAAGAAAAAGUCUGGAGGUGUGUUAUGGGCUGAUCAUGUCUCUCCUAAAUGCACAUGUUGAAGUUCUAACCCCCCAUAAUCUCAAACGUGACUGUAUUUGGAUAGGGCCUUUAAAGUGAUGAUGAAGUUAAAAUGAGGACAGCAUGGUGGGGAUAAUCCAAUCAGAUUAUAAAAAGAGGGAAUUUGGACACACAAAGAGAUUCCAGGGGUGCAAAGAGAAAAGACUGUGUGAGGACACAGUGAGAAGUGGCUAUCUGCUAGCCAAAGAGAGAAAGGCCCCAGGAGAAACCAAUCUGCCAACACAGAUUUGGCACAUAAUUUACAAAUCUGCUUUGAGAUUUGGCACAUAACUUACAAAUCUGCUUUGACCUUGGAAUUCUGGCCUCCAGAACUGUGAGAAAAUAAAUGUCUUUUGUUCAAGUCACCCAGUCUGUGGUGUUUUGUUAUGUCAGUCCUAGCAGACUGACACAAGUUGUGAUCCUAGGAGUGAGUAGUGUAGGGAGGUGGAGGACAAGAUGACUGGUGAAAAGGAAUGGAAAGGGAAGUGUAUUGGAAUUAUCAUUUAUAAUGAAUACUAAAAUAAAAAAUUAGACAAUGUCAGUUUGGGAGAGAAUGACUACAUUUAGAAAGCCAGGUGCUAGACUCUUCAAGGAAUGAAAGAAAAUAAGCUUGAGGGAGGAUUUAGAACUAGAAAUACCAUUUGACCCAUCCAUCCCAUUACUGAGUAUAUGCCCAAAGGAUUAUAAAUCAUGCUGCUAUAAAGACACAUGCACAUGUAUGUUUAUUGUGGCACUAUUCACAAUAGCAGACUUGGAACCAACCCAAAUGCCCAUCAAUGGUAGACUGGAUUAAGAAAAUGUGGCACAUAUACACCAUGGAAUACUAUGCAGCCAUAAAAAAGGAUGAGUUCAUGUCCUUUGUGAGGACAUGGAUGAAGCUGGAAACCAUAAUUCUCAGCAAACUAUAGCAAGGACAGAAAACCAAACACUGCAUGUUCUCACUCAUAGGUGGGAACUGAACAAUGAGAACACUUGGACACAGGAAGGGGAACAUCACACACCAGGGCCUGUCGUGGGGUGGGGGACAGGGGGAGGGAUAGCAUUAGGAGAUAUACCUAAUGUAAAUGACGAGUUAAUGGGUGCGGCACACCAACAUGGCACAUGUAUACAUAUGUAACAAACCUGCACGUUGUGCACAUGUACCCUAGAACUGAAAGUAUAAUAAUAAAAAAUAAACUAAUUACUUAAUAAAUUUUUAAAAAAAGAAAGUAACCUUGAGGGGGACUGAACUGCAGGUGGGAGAUGGAAAUAUCAUCUAGCAUUGAAAUUUACAGUUUCUUAAUCCAAUAGUCACCACUCCCCUUCCCAGUGAUUUUUAAGCAGAAUUUAAAAAAAAAUGAAAAUGUUUGAUUUGGCUCUUCGUUUUCCUCGAUGUGAAACCUUCUCUCAUAGAGGUUCUAACAGGCACUGAAACGAGAAUUAAGAAAGGGUGGGAGCAGAAUAAUCGCUGAAGGGGGUCAUUGGCUACCAGGAAACCCAGAAGUAGCUGUGUUCUACUAGACAUACUUGCAAGGUUCUAAGGAGGUUUAACUUAAUUGAGAUUUGACUUUAAAAAAAACUUUUUAUUGUCAAUAUUUUGCUCUUUGGAGAGCAGUGACUAAGAUUACAUUUUGUUAAUGUUUGUGGGGAGCAGAAUCAUUGAGCAUUGUCUGCUUUGUAAAAGUGCUGUGGCUCCCAGGAAUCUUCAGUGUCAGUGAAGUGAGCUGUCACUCUCAGUCAGGGUCUCCUUCCAAUUAACUACGAUAAAUUGACAUCUAUUGAGUAUCUUCUAUGUGGAGGCGCUGUGCUAGAAGUUUUCACAUGCAUUAAAAACAAAAAGCCGAAAAAUGAAUUCUUACAAUAACACUAAGGUAAAGGCAUUAUUAACCCUAUUUUGCAUGUAUAAAAAAAAUGGAUGUAAGAAGAAAACCGUCCUUUUUACUUUAUUGUUAUUUAAAAAACAAUUUUGACUUUUAUUUUAGAUUCAGAAGGUACAUGUGCAGGUUUUUUACAUGGGUAUGUUGCAGGAUGCUGAAGUUUUGGACCAUUAGGCCCCAAACCCAUCACCCAGGUAGUGAGUAUAGUACUCAAUAGGUAGUUUUAAAGUCCAUCCUUUCCUCCUUCUUCACUCUGGUGGUCCCCAGUGUCUAUUAUUGCUAUCUUUAUGUCCAUGAGUGCCUAAUACUUAGUUUCCACUUAUAAGUGAGAACAUGAGGCAUUUGGUUUUCUGUUCCUGCAUUAAUUCACUUAGAAUAAUGGCCUCCAGAUGCAUCCAUGUUGCCACAAACAACAUGAUUUCAUUCCUUUUUAUGGCUGCCUAGUAUUCCAUGGUGUAUAUCUACCACACUUUCUUUAUCCUAUCUACCACUGAUGGGCACCUAGGUUGAUUGUAUGUCUUUGCUAUUGUGAAUGGUGCUGUGAUAAGCAUACGUGUGUCUUUUGGGUAGAACAUGGAUUUUUCUACAAAAGAAAUUUAAAAACUUGCUCAGAAACUAGAAGUUAAGUCUGACUUUCACAUUCUUUAUGCUAUUCCACCAUGUUCACCCUUGCCUGAUAACAUUGUUGUGCAUUACCCCUCUCUUCUUCAUUGUAAAUUGGUUUCAAAUUUGGAGGUUCUAAUUCCUUGGUAGUAGCUUCCUACAGUGCUAUUUUGAAGGCACACUGGUUUCGGUGGGAGAGAUAUACAGAUUAGCUAGAUAGAUUAGUGAUGUCUGCAGUGGAGAUGGGGUCAGAGAAGAACAACAUGCAUGGCUAGUAUUCCCUAGUCUUUGUCCAGCCUCAAACGAUGAUGUCUCUACUGACGGUAUCAUGUCACAGGUUGUUAUGAAGACUUGGUGAGGAAGUACAUGAUCAAUUGUUAUUUGGAAGAUGGUUCCAGAAGAAUGACAGAAGUGAAUGAAGAGGAUAUUCCUGGCUGGAAAACUUGAUAAAAUUGUUGAAAAGGGAGUUGAGUAAUUUAUUUGUCUUUGGUUACCCUAUUAGUGAAAACAGCUAAUGAAGUCUCCCCAGAUAACUCAACAUUUUACUUAAUUUCAUCUCUAAGAAAACACUUUUAACCUGCCUCUGGAAAAAAAUAUGUUUGCUCAUAAAUAACAUUCUUGAAGCCAUUUGCCUCCGGUAAACUCUCAAAUUUUUUUGCCAAAGAAUUCUUACUAAAUCAGGAUUUUCUUGCUGGUCCUCCAGUAACUGGGAGGAGCCACUGGGAUGCCGUGCUUGUUGGCUGCUUCUGGCCUUGGCUUCCUGUUCUCCACAGCAGAGGGGAGGAAAUCCGCAGGAUGCCUGCUACCAGGGGACAGGGUGACUCAGGAGGAAAGACUCCACCUAAAAUAGUCGUGGUAUGCAGUCUCUGAGUCACUUCACUUUGAAAUCAGUUAAUAUAAGAUCCUGGAAUUAGCCCCACAGGUGACGGGAAGUGGGGAAGAAGGAAAUAUCUGAAAAAAAGUUUAUCCAAAAGAGAAAUUGUCCAUGAAUAUGACUUUUUAACAGCAGAAAAGGCUAAUAUUCAGGGAGAAAUUUCACCUUGAGAGUUUAAAGUAGAUAAACUGUGAUUUCUUCCAUGGAGCAUGGGCAUAAAGCACUGGUCUGGGUCCAAUUUAGGGACCCACUGGGAAUGAAUGUUUGCUUAAAAACACAUUAGACAAGCAGCAGCAGGGCAGCUGUGUAAACAGAAGUGUGCUGUUUUGAUGCAGUUUUCCUGACUGUUGUGUUUAUAAUCCUUUCUCUAGAAUUAUCUGGCCAAAAUGUCCAUAGUGCCAAUAAAUUCCAGGUUUAUCUCUAACUAAUGAUAAACAUUAAGCUCUUUCCCUACUGAGACAGGGAGAAGAGUAUUCCUGUUUCUAUUCAAAGUUCCCCAAAGCAGCUUUCUGUAUUUGAAAUGUCCUCUCAGACCAUUGUUGAACCUCCCUUUACUCCCUUCUGACUGGCUCCCAGCCUCCUAGAAUUAAUUUAUUUAUUCAAGCUCUUCAUAGUAGGGGAGGAAGGAACUGUAUUCAGUCAUUUAUUCUUAAAACGUGUAUUGAACAUUUACAUGAUGACACAUGAUGACUGAGGCAAAGAACACCCAUUCCUUCAAAAUGCUCAGAGUCUAGUUGAGGAAAUAAAAAAGUUAAACAACAAAUUCGUAAUACAAAAUGUUGAAUAUCCAGUAGAUUUAACCAUAGGCUUUUUGAAAGACACAGGAACCUUGAAUGGAGCUGGAGUUCAAGUGAGAUUUCUUGGAAGUCUGGAGGACAAAACUGAGUCUUCAAGGUUAAGAUGCAAGUAUCUAGGUAAACUGAGCCUCAAUCAAAGCUAAAUGUUGCCAGGUGUGGUGGCUCAUUCCUGUAAUCUCAACACUUCAGGAGACUGAGGCAGGAGGAUCACUUGAGCCCAGGAGUUAGAGACCAGCCUGAACAACAUAGCAAGACCUCGUCUCUGCAUAAAAUUUUUUAAAAAUUAGCCAGGCAUGGUGGCACAUGUCUGUAGUCCCAACUAUUUGGGAGGCUGAGGUGAGAAGAUCGCUUGAGCCUGGGAGAAUGAGGCUGCAGUGAGCCGUGAUUGUGCCACUGUAUUUCAACCAGGGUGACAGAGUGAGAUCCUGUUACAAAAAAAAAAAAGCUAGAUAUUCACUGGUAGAUAAAUGCAGUGUGAAGCUUGAUUGGAUAUUGGUUUGGCAAAACAUGGUGAGACACAUUUUGGGGAUGAUUGGAAAAAUACGAAUGUAUGAAUGUAGACCGUAUUAGACAAUAUUAGAAGGUUGUUAUUAACUUGGAUGUAAUGAUGGUGUUAUGAAGGAGUUGCUCUAAAUUUUUGGAGAUGCAUAUGUCUUCCUCCCUGAAAUGGUUUAGCAAAAGAAUAAGGAGAAGGAGGAGGAAGAGGAGGAGAAGAAUGGUAGAUAGAUAAAUGAAGCAAAUGUGACAAAAUAUUAACAAUUGUUGGACUUAAAUCUGAAUGUUCAUUGUACUAGUUUUUCCACUUUCCUGAAAUUUUUGUAAAAAGUAGUUGCAAAAGAAUACCCUAGUAGACACUCAGUUACAUGCUCAGACUCUAGAAUUGUGAGAAAUAAAUUUUUGUUGUUUGUAAAUUAGUGGGUUUAAAAUAUUUCAUUAUAGCAACUUGAAUGGAGGCAGAGGCUAAUUUGGCACAAAUAUUAUUAACUUUAAAUGUGUAUAACUUUAAAAACUGUAAAGGAUUCUCAAUAAAAAAUUUGUGUUCUAGGAUCACACAGAGUUAAGUUUCUCUGUGUCUAUAUAGGCAUGGGCAUGCCUGUCUCGAAGCACUUCCUUGGGAUAUAUUUUUCAUUGAUUUUAUAUGUUCUUUAAACAAUUAAAAUGUAUAAAAAUGAUUUCUUAAUUCUAAUCAAUAAAAAAUACUAGACAUCCAUCUUUUAUAAAUGAGGAACACCUAUAAUAUGGUGGUGGCACUGAACGCGGAGAUAAUUUAAGAGUAGAAUCUUUUCCAGGAAUAAUUUUUCAGAUAAGAUAUGUUUGCACAUGGGCAUACAAACCUAUCAAAUAAGAAUUCUACUGUGGAAAGAAAGGACUGGAAAUCUAUCUCUCCAUCCAUAGAAAACUGGUGAAAUAGAUUAUGGAAUUAUUUAUGCAAUGAAUUACUAUACGAUUGUUAAAAAUGAGAUAAAUAUAUUUUUGCUGAUAUGCAAUGAUGGCUAAGUUUAAAAACAAACAAACAAACAUGUGACUGGGCACAGUGGCUGACACCUGUAAUCCUAGCACUUUGGGAGACCAAAGCGGGAGGAUCACUUGAGUCCAAAAGUUUGAGACCAGCCUGGGCAACAUAACCAGACCCUGACUCUACAAAAGAUUUAAAAAUUAGCUGUCCAUGGUGGCACACACCUGUAGUCCCAGCUACUCAGAAGACUGAGGCAAGAGGAUGGCUUGAGCCCAGGAGUUCGAGGUUAUAAUGACAAAAAGAGACUCUAUUUUCAAAAAAAAGAAAAAGACUGUAUAUAAAGUGUUCCCAUUACAUAACAAAAGCAUGUGUAUACACACAUACACUUGCAUAAGCAUAAAAGAUCUCUGGAAGACUACAACAGGAAGCUGCUGCAUUAGUCAGGAGCCAUUCAGGGGACAGAAACCACAAGUAAUUUGAAUACAGAAGGUUUAAUAUGAAGAAUGAUUAUUUACAGGGAAUUACUAAAGAGGAACACUAAGAGAACUCUGAAGAAUACCUUUGGGCUGACAAAGAGUACCCGAGGAAGAAAUGAGCUUGGAAGGGGUGCCCCUCAAGGUUGGAUCCAGACUUCCUGGGAGAGGGUGCAGCCCUCUGGGUGUGCAUUUUGCUGGAUUGCUCCAGGUCAGAGCUGAUCCACAGUUGACAGGUUGGGAGUCAUAAGCCAGGGCUGGCAAGGUGGAAAUUCCCCCAGUGGGAAACCAGCAGGCUGAGGCUGGCAGGCAAGAAAUCAAUGGCUGAGGGGUGCUGACAAAAUUCAUGGGGAAACUGCCCAUGGGGAGUGCUGUUGAACUUGUGGGAAACUGGUUGGGCCAUGGUGGGGACACACUGGAAAGCUUCCAGGAUGCUGCUGCAGGACCAUUGAGGAACUGGCCACAGGGAAACCAGCUGGGGCACCCAUGAAACUUGUUGGCGUGAGCUCCAUCACUGCGUCGCUCACAUACCAGCCCAGCACCACAGAAGCAAGAGCAGAAAGUCUACAAGAAUCAGGAAGGAAGAUAAUCCCCUUUUUCUUCCAGAGUCCCUCCAGGUCUUCUACUGGCAAAACUUAACACUGUGUCAGCUGGCAAAGGAAAGAUGUUUCAGUAUCUCAAGCAGAGAAAGGAAGGGUGCAUUUGGCACAGAAAGGCAAUAGGUUCAUAAAUGCCACAGCUGGUAACAGUCGUAUCUAGGGAGAAAAACUGGAUGAGGAGGCUCAGAUGUGAGACAGAAACUUACUUUUCACUGUAAAUCUUUGUACUGCUUGAUUUGUGGGAAAAACAUUGAGAAAUUUCCUUACUGCAUCAAGUAUGAGUUUCAUACUUCAGAAUAAUAAUGAUGCUGCUGAUAGUAAAUGACAGCCAUUGUUAAAUGCUUUUGCUAUAUUAACUUACCAAAUCUUCUUUGUGAGUUACGACUAUUAGACCUAAUUUUUACGCAGGAAGAAAUCGAGGCACAAAGAGGUGAAAUAACUUGCCAAAGCUUCGCUAGCAAGCGGCUGAGCUAUAACUAUGAUAAUCUGGCUGCAGAAUCUGUGCUCUUGACCACUACACUGUACUAAUUUACUGUAUCUAUCAGGGUUUACUGCGACAUAAAACACAACAAAUGAAUGGAGUGAUAGUCAUUAACACUAUUCAUCAGAUAUCUCCAAAUCAUUGACUCCCCCUAGGGGUGAAUUGGGUCAUGUGAUUAAUGAGCUGUAUGUUGUCAUUUCCAGUCAAGCAUUUUAAUUGCGAGAGACUCUCCAUGGCUGGUUUUUUUGUCUUGCAUGGAGAAUGGCAAUGUUAGAGAUGACUCUACAAUUGUAGUAUGAUGAACAGACUUUCUAUAUUGACUGUAAUGGGCAUAUCACAUGAGAAAGAAGUAAACCUCUGAUUUUCUAAGCCCUUGCUAUUUUGAUGCUGCUGCUUACUGAAGCAUAAUCUAGCUCAUUUUACCGAUAUAAAUGAUGUGUUCCUGAUUAGAGUUAAAGAGAAAAACACAUGUUUUUAAAAAUUCCAAAAGAGUAAAUAUAGUACUUUAUUCUAAAAUGUUUCUCCUAAAAAUUUUGAACUUAGAAAAACUGAAGGAAUACAAUGAUCACUGUUUAUCUUUCAACUAGAUUCAUCAAUUGCUCAUUUUUUAUCCUCUUUAUCUUUCUCACAUAAUUUCUUUCUGAACCAUUUGAAAGUUGGAGACAUCAUGAAACUUCACUGAAAAAAACUUCAUAAGCACCUUCUAAGACCAAGAACAUUCUUCUGCUUGACCACAUUGAAAAUGGAAAAUGUUGAUUCCUUAUUGAAUUAGCAUAUUUUAAAAUUCUACAAUAUACAUAAAAUAGCUUUAGAAUACCCAUAUAACUAUAAAUUAUACAUCUAUGAAGUAAAGUUUAGAUUUCUUGUGGUCCCUUUUUUUUUUUCUUUAGACUAUAAAGACACUAAGCAUGUAUCAUCAGGGUAUUGUGUUUGGUAUGGAAAAGAGUAAUUCAAGUAACCUUUGGGUUUAGUUUUACUUUUCAGAUAUUAAAAAUGGAAUCUCAUUAUGUUGCCCAGGCUGGUCUCAAAUUCCUGGUCUCGAGUAAUCCUCCCUUCUCAGCCUCCUGAGUAGCUGGGACUACAGGCAUGAGCCACCAUGUCCAGCUCUCAAGUAACUUUGAAAACCGUACUCUGUGUGUUCUUAGUAAGAUGUGUUCUAAGGACAAAAGGGUCUUGCAAAGAAAUCUUGAUAAUAAUUUGAUAUAGGCAUUAAUUUGUUUUCUUUUAUAUUCUCCUUUAGGGUUUGCUUUUUAAAAUCUUUUAAUUAGAUGAAUCUCUUUUACUUGGUUCGACAGUCAGAACAAUAUAAAAAGGUGUAUUUAAAGAAGUGCCACUCCCAUCCUUUGCUUCCAUUCUGUUCCCACCCUCCUCCAUAAGUAGAUAUUUUCAUUAGUCUCUGUUUUAUCCCUUUUGUUUGUUUCUUUUUUUUUUUUUUUUUUUUUUUGCAAAAUCACACACACACACACACACACACACAACACACACACACAUUUCUCCUUAUUUUCCACACGGUAGUGUCCUAUAUAUGUUCUCUUUUUUUUUCACUUAAUACCAUUUCCUAGAAGUCACUGCAUAUUAGUUUAUAGAAAUCUUGUUGUUGGCCAGGUGUGGUGGCUCAUGCCUGUAAUCCCAGCACUUUGGGAGGCCAAGGCAGGUGGAUUACUUGAGGUCAGGAGUUCAAGACCAGCCUGGCCAACAUGGUGAAAUCCCGUCUCUUCUAAAAUACAAAAAUUAGCCGGAUGUGGUGGCAUGCGCCUGUAAUCCCAGCUGCUUGGGAGGCUGAGGCAGGAGAAUGGCUUGAACCCUGGAGGCGGAGGUUGCAGUGAGCCGAGAUUGCGCCACUGCACUCCAGCCUGGGCAAUAGAGUGAAACUCUGUCUCAAAAAAAAAAAAAAAAAAUUGUUGUUAUUGUUAUUAUGUCUGCAUAGUACUCCCUCAUGUAGGUGUGCCACAGUUUAAUUUAUUAGUGGCAGCUUGGGUUGUUUCCAGUAUUUUACUGUUAUAAAUGAUAUUGUGAUGAAAAACUUUGUAUGCGUGUUCUUUCAUAUUUGUGGAGAUGUACCUUCAAGGUAGUUUCCCAGAAGUGCAUUUUCUGGGUGGAAAGGUAAAUAACAUAAUCAUAAUUGUUAGGUAUUUCCCAGUUUCCUCCAUCAGGGGUUGUAUCAUUCUGCAUUUCCACCAGCAUUGUAUGACAGUGCUUGGAUCCCCCCAGCCUCAACCAACGAAGUGUGUUCUCAAGUGUUUGAAUUAUUGCCAGUCUAAUAAAUAAGAAAUUAUAUCUCUAUGUACUUUUAAUUUACAUUUUUCUUAUUAUCAGUAAAGUUGAACAUCUUUUUAUAUGGUUAAGGGCCAUUUAUUUAUCUCUUUCUAUGAACUGUUUACGAUUGUGUCAAUUUUUCCAUCAGGUUUUUAAAUUUUAUUCUUUUUGAUUUUUAGCCACUCUUUAUAUAUUAAAGAGAUUAGUCCUUUGCAAUAUGUUACAAGUAUUUUUACUAGUAUUUAUUUGUCUUUGACUUUGCUUAUGAUGUCUUAUGCCUUGCCAAAAAAAAAAAAAAACCCUUUAUUUUCAUGUAGUCAAAUUUAUCAAGAUUUUCUAUUAUUGCUUUGGGAUCUCAUUUUAUAGCUUUGAAAAUAAUUAUCUCCAAAUCCAGUUAUAAAAAUUUAUUCAUGCUUUCUUCUAGUACUUUUUUGCUUUACCUUUUUUUUUUUACAUUUAGAUUGCUGAUCCACUGAAAUUUAUUCUGGUAUAUGCUGUGAGAUAGGGAUCUGAAUUUAUCUUUUUGAAAUGUCUAUUGUAGUUAUCACUACACCAUUUUUAAAAGUUAUUAUUUUCUUUAGUGAUCAUUGUUGUUAUUUACUAAUUUUUAUAUGUCAAAAACAAAAUCAGAUCAAGUUAGAAAAUUUUAAAGAAUGUAUUGUACUUACAAAAGAACAGUUUUCCAACCAGGAGACUUUGAAUAAAUGUAAGAAGGUAAUAAUGGUAAGAAGCUCACCUUACAGCAGUUAUAGCACAGUGUAUAAAGCAUAAAAGAGAAAUUAUUUGGACCUUUUUCGUGAUUGGCUAUUAUACAUUAACAUUCUUUUUAGGACAAAUAGUGCUAUUCAAGCUAAUUUAUCUAUAGCUGAUUGGCUUAAUUUCACUGAAUUAUACUGGCAAGGACAUAAAGUUAUGUUUUGUGUUUUAUUUAUGAUUAGAAAUUAGCAUUUCAGAAAAUCGAGAUGAAUAAAGUUUUGGUUAUAUGGUUAAAGAUGGUUAGCCUUGGGGUAUAUCUAAACUGUAGCCUCCAUUUGUAUUUUUCUUUAACACGUAAAUACUUGGGUCUAUUUGGAAAUGUCUAGUCUGUUCCAUUUUUCUGUCUCUCUAUUCAUGCUGUAUACUUUUUAAUCAUAUGCAAGUGUUACUCUCCUAUUUCUCUUGAAACAUAAUUAUAAGGAAAAAGUGCUGUGCCCAUGGGACUUGGUGACUAAUUGAAUGUGGAGUUUGGAAUAGAGGAAAGUGUCCAGGCUAACCCCCAUACUUCUUUCCCAGAUGACUGGGUUGGAAAGUAAGGCUGUUGGCCAAGAUAUGGCAUGGAGACAGUAUAAGGGGAGAGUAUUAACAAAGGAUGGAAACUUUGUAUUGCACUAGGAGUAUGCCUGUGAAGAGGAAACCAGAAAGAGGACUGAGAACAAAGAGUUAAAGAGAUGUGUAUUCGUUUUGUUACCUACCAUGGGGGUCUUGGGCUCUCAAUGCAAUAAAAAUUGAGGCCAAGUUUGGUGGCUCAUGCUUGUAGUCCUAGCACUUUGGGAGGCUGAGGCAGGAGGAUCCCUCGAGGCCAAGAGUUUGAAACCAGCCUGGACAGGAUAGUGAGACUCUGUCUCUUAAAGAAAAAGAAAAAGAAAUUGACAUGAGAUCAAAAGAGUUUUCUCAGACAAGGUUCAAGCGUAAGGGAGGUAGCACAAGAAAGAGAUUCUCUGGCUGGCCUCCUCGGUAGGUGAUAGAAAGGUAGUUUUAAAGGAGUGAGGUUUAGGCAUGCAGAGGCAGGGAACUUUUAGCACCUGCACAGUUUGAUUUCUUGCUCCUUCAAAUAUCACACGUCUUAUUAGCAUAUUAACUCUCUACCUCUGGAUGUGAUUUUUAGUAUUCUAAUGAAGCUAACGUUAAGGAUUGGUCACUCUCCCGGCCUUGUACGCAUGCGGGAGAUAGGGUUAACUUCCUUGAGUAAGAUUUGUGGUGGGAGCUGCUUAUUUCAGCUUCCUUAAGGUCCUGCAAUCAGUGGGUAUAGCACCUUGAGCAAGAUUUAUAGUGCAAGGUCUGGAUGGUCUGGUUGGGGUCUGGUCCAUGCUUGCCCCCAACAGCUUGCAGUAGAGGUCCUUGGUUGUCACAGGGCAAGUAGGCAGUGAGUUCAUUUCAGAUCUGUCGCAGCCUCUUAUAGCUGGCAUAACAAAUUACCACAAACUAGGUGGCUUAAAACAAAAGAAUUGUCUGUAUUGUAUUGUCUCCCAGUUCAGGUGACUAAAGGUCUGAAAUUAAGCUGCUGGCAGGGUUGGUUUCUUCUGGAAGUUCUGAGAGACAAUCUGUUCCAUGCCCAUGUCCUAGCUUUGGUGGUUGCCAGCAAUCCUUGAUGUUCCUUAGUUAAGCAGCAACACUUCAUCUCUGCACUUUGCACAGAGUAGAUUCUUUAUAACUGUUUGCUGAAUGAAUGAACUAAUGAAUGUAUUUUAAAGUAAAUGACAAUACAAAGCAUAUUAUUCUAUAAAUUGCUUUUUUGUUGUUGUCAUAAUUUCCUUUUUUUUCCUCUUAACAGUAAAUUAAUUUACCUGGUAACCUCUCAUACAGAUUUAUAUAGCAAUAUUUGAAACUCUUCUCUAACCACUCCUGGACUCCUGGAGUGAGGACUCUCAAAUUGGGUAUUUUAGUGUUAAUUUCUCACCACUAAGAUGUAGAUUAAUUUAAAGUCCCAUAUGGUCUGUUUAUACUGAUGCAUCUUGGAGUAAAUUACAGAUGAUAUAAAACUGAGUUAAAAAGUAUAUUUUAUUUAGCACUUAUAUGGUGCUUACUAUUUUCCAGCUACUGUUUUAAGUGUUCUACCAAUACUAGCUCAUUUAAUCCUCACAACAAUCCAAUGAAGUGGGUACCAUUACUAUCUUCAGGAAAUUAAGGCACAGCGAGGUGAAAUUACUUGCCUGCAUUCAUACUGCUGGUAAGAGUUAAGCUGAGAUUCAAACUGAGUAAUGUGGCUUUGCACGGAGUCUAUGCUCUAGGCUGUCUCUUGAGAAAGUGCCUUUAACGUUUUGUUAGGUUGGCAGUUGCCUUUUUCUGCGAUGUGGGUUGAAGAGAUCAGCCUGCAUGUUUCUCCUGUGAUCCCCAUCUACAAGCACCACACCUGCAUCCAGCUGCUCACAACACACACAACUCUGUAAGAACACACAAUCAUGUACACACACACACUAGGCAGUCCAAAUCAGAGAACAAGAAGCCAUUUUCCAAAGUCACCACAACACAGAAGGCAUCUUUCUGCUUAAAAAGCAUCCUUCCACCCCCAAAUUGACAUGACUAAUUAAAAUCCUUAAUUCGAAUUCUGGUUACUUUUUAUCUUUCUCUAUAAAAUUUCAUGAAUUUUGGUGCUCUAUAUUUGCAUAACAAAAAAUAUAGUAAUUAUUUUUCCAUAACAAAGGAAUCAUUAGGCAGAGCCUGCUGGGUAAAUGGGUGUUUUUAGAUGAAUUUUAGAUUUGUCAUGAUAGGUCAUUGAUUAGGAUAGAAAAUAGAGCGCACUGCAGUAUUGUUUUUGUGAAACCCUGUAUACAGAUUUUCUGUUUUAUAUAUAACAAUUCCCUAAACAAGGUAAUUCUGUAUACAAGAUUUUAUAUGCCUGAAUUAACACAGCUCUGCUACAAGGUGGUAGAAAAGUUAGCACUGGACAGCAAAAGCUAUGACUUAUGAAACAGCAGUUUUUACAGUUUCAGAAAGUAUAAUGUCUAAUCUCCACUGGGUACUUAAUUCCAUUCAUAUAUCAUGGUUUACAAUGUACUUUACUGACACAGUCUCAUGGACCUAAUAACUACUCUGCUAGGUUGUAGGAAGGACACUGUCAUCUCCAUUAACACGCAAAGAGAUAAGAAAGCCAAGAUGGGAGAGGUGGGAGAGGCAGUCUCUUGGCUGUGCUAGGAUGGAGCUGCCCCUGGAAUCCACCUUUCUAGGCAUUCCACAGUUGCUGGUUGAGGAACCUGCCCUGGUACUGAUAGGGUCACAAAAGCCUCAAGGGGUUAACAGGAUGGGAGAUACAGUUAAUUUUGAGCACCAGUUGGUAGAGGUGACUCCCUUUCCCAAUGGUGUUUCCAAGAUCACUUCUAGCUCAGAAUGUGGGUGUAUAAGGGGAAAGUUCUCAUCAGCAACUGCUCUGGUUGCCUGUGACCCAAGCGUAGAUCUGCUCAACCUCCAUAGUCAGUUAAACCAGUGGGUCCCAACCCUGGCUGCACAUUAACUCCUGAUUAAAAAUCCUAAACCCCAAAGCGUACUGCAGACCAAUUGUAUCACACUAUUUGGGGUUGAGGUCUGGGCGACAGUAUUUUUAAAACUCCCCAGGUGAUAGUAUUUGUAAAACUCCCCAGGUGAUAGUAUUUUUAAAACUCCCCAGGUGAUUUUAAUGUGUAGCUGAGGUCAAGAUUCAUAGAAUUAGAGAAAUAUGGUGUUCAGUUAAGUUCAGCCUAAAGCUGCCUGCUUACAUAUUUUAAAUCUGGCCUAAAGUUUUCUCCAUACAUAAUGAACUAUUACCUAACUGGAUGUCUAAACAGGCUGUUACCUACUCUUUUACUCUUUUACCAGUCACUGAGUUUUGGCCACUAAAGGUGGCCAACUAUUCAAACCAUGUUCAAAUAAUGCAAAUGCCAAGCUGUAACCAAGCCAACUAUUUCUGUUCAUCACUUCUGUUUUCUGUAUGCCACUUUCCUUUUUCUGUCCAUAAAUUUUCUUCCAUCACACGACAGUGCCAGAGUCUCUCUGAACCUAUUUUGGUUCAGGAGGCUGCCCAAUUCGUGAAUCCUUUUUUGCUCAAUUAAACUCUGUUAAAUUUAAAUUGUCUAAAUUUUUGUAAAGAGAUAGGGUCUCACUCUAUCACCCAGGGUGAAGUACAGUGGCAUGAUCAUAGGUCACUGCAGCCUCAAACUUCUGGGCUCAAGCCUCCUGCCUCAGCCUCCUAAGUAUCUGGGACUACAGGUGUGGGCCACUAUACUUGGCUAUUUUUUUUUUAUUUUUUAAAGAUGGGGUCUUGAUAUGUUGACCAAGCUUGUCUCAAACUCUUGGCCUUAAGUGGUCCUCCCACCUCAGCCUCCUGGGUUGAUGGGACUAAAGGCAUAAGCCACUGUGCCCAGCUAGAAAGUUUUUCUUUUAACAAUGGUGAAUCUCAUCUGGUCUAAACCUGUAGCUCUUUAUUAAAUGGAUUCAACUCUUGAUUUGAACAUAAGAAAAAUGCAUCGAUGAUCUGAUUGAUCUACAAAUUUUUGUUUCAAUUUCAUGAGUAUAAUAAAGCUCAAUUUAUAAAGCAAUCCUGCUCAGUAUUUCACUUUGCCAGUAUUAUCUAAUUUAAACCUCUUUUAAGGUAGAUGUAUAUUCUUUCUAAAUCACAGAUGAGAAGGCUGAGGCACAUAGGGUGAUGUGCUCAGAUCACACAUUUAGUAAAUGUGGAACUGGGAUUCAAAACCAAGUAUCCUUGACUCCAACACCUGACAAUUUCUGAGCAGCAUUCCCUCCCAUGUAAAUUAUUGAUUUCAUGAACUGGUUCUACUUUUGGUUUUCGGUAUUUGUACAUGCCUUUAUGUCUCUCAAAGUUAGUGGCAGCAACUGAAAUUAGCUCGGAUCUUCCUCCUCUCUGCUCCUAAAACUGUCCUGUGCUUCUCUCCAGCCAAGUAGAUUCCUUGAGUGGAGAGGUUGUGUUCUGGUCUAUACUGCUGUCUGUUCCAUGCCCAGAACAAUGCCUGACACUUACUGGGGCUAACACUCUAAACCACAUGAACUAUAGACAUUGACUAAUUCACACAGUCAUAUUCCUAUAUAUUAAAAAAUGCCAUAAGAAACAGACUGCGGUGUUCAACUAGAAAUAAAAUCAAACAUUCCAACUAUAAGACCAUAGUGAGUGGCAUGAAUAACUUUCCCAGGAGAUUCUUUAAAAAUUAAACAGUUCCAUAUAAAAUUGUAGACAUUUCAACUGAAAGAUACGUUAGAGAAAAACCUAAUAAUUCAGUGUAGUGUUAUUUGAAAUUCAAAAAUUGGGUCAUCCCACUCUUCCCUCUUCCUUUUUAAAAACAACAACAACAAUAACAAAAAAACAAGUUUGCAUACCAUGAAGUGAAACAAGAAAUGAAAUGAAGCUGUGUUCAGUGGCCUGGAGUGUGAUGCUCAAGGGCUCCCAAGAACUUGCAAAAGUCAAUAUUAUGUAGUUAUGAAUUUUCAGAAAUAUAAGUAAAGUCAACUUGUAACGUUUGAUUUAACCAAUAGGAACUGCUCCAACAACUCAAUGUAUCAACUCUGAAAACAAAUUACUGUAUCCCCUGCCUACCCUAGUAUUUAGAAGGUCAGUGCCUCCCUCCUGAAGUGUACCUCUCAACGGCCCAAGUUUGGGUUUAGGCUAGCCAGGCAUCUUCAACCCAAGGGGAGAGAUCAUUGGUCAGGGCUGUCUUUACUGCUCUAGACCACACGGUGUCACUGUUGAAGACCAGUUGGUUCACCAAACAUCUCUGCUGUGAGGAGCCGGGGGUGGGGCGGUGGUGCCAGUCCCUGCUGGGGCCACAUGGCCCUUUUUGGAGGACAAUGGCCUCCCACAACAUGUAGCUCUGCCCGGGGCCCCAGUGUGGCAGCCCUUUAAAUUCAUAAAAUCAGUUUACGUACACCGGAGCUGGCCCCAGAAGCUUUGAGUCAAAUGGAUUCCACUGUUUACAGAACUGCCUCCCAUUGUUUCUUUCUAAUCAUGGCCAAGGGAUAGGUGGCAGUGUUAUUUCCAACACAACUCUGCAACUCAGAAAACAUAAAGGGUCUCUCUAAUACCACCUUUUUCUAGACAAUCUAGGUUACUCACCCUUUACUUACCUCUCUUCUGUGGUUUAAAUGAUAUGUAUCCCCUUAAGAAAAAACUCCUCCUGGGAGUUCAUAAGGCUAUUUUUCAUCCUGGCCCAUAAGAAAAAGUUGCUUGCACUUCUCUUACUAAAAACUGAAGAGCCACAAGAGAAAAUUAGCUUCUCUUACAGGGCUAAGAUAAAAUAAUACCAAAUAUAUUUUCAUUCAUUUUUAUAUUUUAGUAAAGUUAUAGAUCUGUGAUAUAAUACCUUUGUGAUUUUAAAUAUAUCUAAUCCCUCAGGGGUAUUUUAUCCUUUUAUUUUCCCCACCCUCAGACCUGCCCACAUUUCCACCAUACUCUGCUUAAAUAUUGUCUGGCCUAAUGCCAUGUUUAUUGAGAAGGAAGUGAACUUGAUCAAGUCAGGGGCAAAUGUGAGACUGAGGGCCCUGACUACUAGUACUUGCUCUUUCCACAGCAUGAUCCUGUGUCUCCAUUUCUGGAGGUAUUAUUAGGUUUGGAAGGCUGAAGAAUUACGUACAGACUGGAUGGAAGCUGGAAGUGAGUCGAGUGUGUUGAGUUCUACGAUGGCCAGUCUCCAAGGUGGUUCCCAGUGAUCCCUGCCUCCUGUGUAGUCCCUUCCCAUCUUGUACUAUUGUUGCCCAGUGUGACCAAUAGGAUAUGAAAGAAGGAAUAAUAGGUAACUUCCAAGAUUAGGUAUAAAAGACUGCAGCUUCCAUCUUGGGCUCUCUUUCUCAUCACUCACUGUAGAAGAAGCCAGUUGCCUUAUUGUAAGAAGCUCUGUGGAGAGGCUCACAGUGUGGAGAACUGAAGCCUUCUACCAACAGCUGUGUGGGUGAUUUUGGAAGUGGAUCCUCCACUAGCAAGCCGUAGAUGACAGCAGACCCAGCUGACACCUUGACUGUAACCUCUUCAGAGACCCUGAGGCAGAACCUGAGCUAAUCUGCUCCUGGAUUCCUGGCCCGCAGAAACUAUUAGGAAACUGAGGCUCAGAGAGAAAAAGUGACUUGUCCAAGAUGAGCAACCACGACCCAAACAAAAGAUUCUUGAGUGAAGCCCAGCACCCUGUUUCUUCAGUUAUUCAAAUCAUAUGGUUGCUCAGCUACUUAAAGCUACUUUCUAUGUACUUCACAGUUGUUAUUUAAUUCCCUGUGACAUUAAGAACACAGUUGUCAUUUAAUUCUCUGUGACAUUAAAGAGAGACUAAUUUCCAAAGAAAAAAAAUUAAUAUUCACAAAGCCAAAUGGGAGAAAAAAAUGCCUACUUCUGGUCUAUGGGAACUGCUUAGUUUGCUGUACCUUCAAACCUGUUUCUGAGUGUUGCCAAUGGAAGAGUGGAAGAUGGGGAAACAUGGAAAGGGUGGUGGUUAAGGAGGGCCCAGGGAGCCUCUGCAGCCCUCCUUAUUCUUUUUCUCUGUACCUGAGCCCAGUUCUCCCACCUGGCAUGGCUCUACAACCAUGAAACCCUGAUGCCCUCACAUGCAUAAGAAGCCCUGACAAAGUGGAUGUGGAUAUUUCUCUCACUCUGCAAAAUGAGACUCACGAUGACCUGCAAUGUGAUGCUUCUUUGGGCCAAAAAAAAAAAAAAAAAAAAAAAAAACACAAAAAACCACCCAAUUGCUUUCAGGUUGCCUGACUCACAGGGCACCUUGAUGCUCUGGCCAGGGACACUGAAGACUGAAUCACCUAGCUUGCCUUUGCAGAAACUAUUUACUAAUAUGUCAUUUCAUUUCUGUCUUUUUCCAACCUUAAGCUUUAUGUGCCCCUCAUCCACAGCAUGUCCUUGCCGCCCAUGCCUCUACUCCCAUGCAUAAAAGGAGGCGUAGGCAAAUGUACAUGGAAGUCUCUUUUCAACCUCUGCAGGGGAUUGUAGGUGAAAUAUACUAUUGCCCACACUUAUGUACAAGGAUACCCUAUGAUAAGCAUUACUGGGAUUAAGAAAUAUUGAGCGGUAUUUCUAUCUCUGAAAUUCUAUUGUCUCUCCCACUUAGAGAAGACUAUUACAAGUCAGCUACGAUAGGACUUUUUUUCUCCAAAGUUGUGACAUUGGAAAUCAGGACUCCCCUUACAAACCCAGGUAGCUGAUUUGUUUAAAGGACACAUAGUAUUUUCCUAGAGAAUUGGAGCAAGAACAACAGGGUAGAAGCCCUGCAGACCUGUUUGAGUGCAGAAGACACGGACAAAGCAUAUCCGUGUUCCCAUCCACUGAACAGGCAGCAGCUAAUAAUGUAAUGAAUUCUCUUCUGUCAUCCUAAGCUUUUGGUUGUCGUUGAAGUACUCUUCUGAACUCCACCUAUUAUCAUUUAAUGAGUGUUUGCUAUGUUUCCAGCUCUGUGCUUUUUUUUACAUCUGCUAUUCAUUCUCUUUCCAAAGCUGUAGCCCCACGGUCUCAUAGUUAAAUAAUUCAGAUGUUUUGAGUUAAAUAGGUUUUUACAACAAGACUUUUCAGAGCUAGUGGAAGGUCCAUGUGUGUAGUGAAUCUUUGGGAAGAUUUAUUUGGUAUAUAUUAUUUCCCAGAUUUUUUCAAGGGCGUCUCAUAAGACAUGUUUAGUUCAGAAGAUGCUACUGAGGUCUCAGAGACUGCUAUCUCUUUCUCUGUUAUGAGUUGAGUUGUGUCUUCUUAAAAAAGACAUGUUGAGGUCCAUACACUUUAGAGUGCGACCUUUUUUGGAAAU